RNAcentral lists this ribosomal RNA (216 nucleotides) under Glomeromycotina sp. RNAcentral describes it as "partial small subunit ribosomal RNA". The stretch from base 40 to 216 matches the Rfam family "Eukaryotic small subunit ribosomal RNA", at positions 686 to 864 of the family's 1831-position model. The record is from RNAcentral. Lineage: Eukaryota; Fungi; Glomeromycota.
GGGUCAGUAGGUUGGUCGUGCCACCGGUACGUACUGGUCUCACUGAUUCCUCCUUCCUGAAGAACCGUAAUGCCAUUAAUUUGGUGUUGCGGGGAAACAGGACUGUUACUUUGAAAAAAUUAGAGUGUUUAAAGCAAGCUAACGCUUGAAUACAUUAGCAGGGAAUAAUGAAAUAGGACGAUCGAUCCUAUUUUGUUGGUUUCUAGGAUUGACGUA